RNAcentral lists this ribosomal RNA (254 nucleotides) under uncultured bacterium. RNAcentral describes it as "partial 16S ribosomal RNA". It matches the Rfam family "Bacterial small subunit ribosomal RNA", at positions 524 to 776 of the family's 1533-position model. The record is from RNAcentral.
UACGGGGGGAGCAAGCGUUGUUCGGAUUUACUGGGCGUAAAGGGCGCGUAGGCGGCCACGACAAGUCACUUGUGAAAUCUCCGGGCUUAACUCGGAACGGUCAAGUGAUACUGUCGGGCUAGAGUCCGGAAGAGGAGAGUGGAAUUCCUGGUGUAGCGGUGAAAUGCGCAGAUAUCAGGAGGAACACCAAUGGCGAAGGCAGCUCGCUGGAACGGUACUGACGCUGAGGCGCGAAAGCGUGGGGAGCGAACAGG